Molecule: long non-coding RNA, 1877 nt
Filed under: Homo sapiens (human)
Lineage: Eukaryota; Metazoa; Chordata; Mammalia; Primates; Hominidae
Description: HSALNT0017496
Source: RNAcentral
GAUGUGCAAGGGGAUGACAAGCGAUACUUCCGUCGACUGAUCUUCCUCAGCAACAGGAAUGUGGUGCAGUCCGAAGCCAGGUUGCUGAAGGAUGUGUCUCACAAAGCCCAGAAGAAGCGGAAAAAGGACAGGAAGAAGCAGCGGCCUGCUGAUGCGGAGGACCUCCCUGCAGCCCCGGGGCAGUCCAUUGAUAAGAGUUACCUGUGUUGUGAACACCACAAAGCCAUGAUCGCUGGCCUUGCCCUGCUGAGAAACCCAGAGCUACUCCUAGCACGGCCUUGCUACGAUGUCAUAAUGUUUGAUGUUGACAGUAAGGACCCAACACUGGGAAUGAGUUGUCCGCCCCCAGCAUUUGUGGAGCAAUCUUUUCUACAGAAGGUUAAAAGCAUCUUGACUCCUGAAGAUGCUACCACACAGUUUUACAAAGUGGUUGUAGCAGUUCACACUCCCACCAGCAUGGUGAUGCUAGCUACUACAUGAUGCUUCCUACACGUGCUCUACUAGGCAGUGUGUUAUUUAAUCUUCAUAGCAGUCCACUUUUUGGAUGAGGAAACUGAGGUUGAAGAUUUGCCAAGGUGACGCAAGGUAACAGUUGGGGCUCAAAGUCAGUGCCUUGUCACCUCAAAACUGGAGCCUUUAAUCCCUAUGUUAACAACCCUCUAGGUAUUUUUGAUUUGGUGUAAGGCACUGUGGUAACUGGCUUGAUUUGGAAUCUUAAUUGUCAGAAGUCAAGAUAACCUCGGCCCUGUCACUGGUUAAUACUCUAUGGUGUGUAUGCCAAGAAUGUAAUAUCCCUGUGGAGUUGGUAAAUUUUACUUUCGUAGGGAAUCACUUUCUAUUGAUUGAUUGAGACAAAGUCUCAUUCCGUCACCCAGGCUGGAUUUUGGCUCACUGCAACCUCUGCCUCCUGGGUUCAAGAGAUUCUCCUGCCUCAGCCCCACUAGCAGCUCCUGCCUCAGCCUCCCUAGCAGCUGGGAUUACAGGCGUCCACCACCAUGCCCAGCUAAUUUUUAUAUUUUUAGUAGAGCCGGGGUUUCACCAUUUUGGCCAGGCUGGUCUCAAACUCCUGACUUCGAGUGAUCCGCCUGCCUCAGCCUCCCAAAGUGAUGGGAUCAUAGACAUGAGCCACCGUGCCCAGCUGGGAAUCACUUCUUUCUCAAAGCUAUUCUUUGAGAAGCUAUUUGGGAAACUGAGGCUUGGAGAAUGGUAAAAUAACAUGUGAGCAGCACAGAAGAGCAAGAAAUAAGGCUGGAGUUUGUUUAUGGCUCACAUGCUCCCCAUGCUUUUCUCCAUCUGCCUUUCUAUGCUGUGUAUUCUCUGCAAACUCAUCACCACCGUGUGUUUUAGUCCACCAGUCUCCCUGGGACAGGAAUUGGUAUUUUCCUCAAAGCCGAUCCUUGUCUUUCAUAUGUCUCCUGAUGUGAGGUCAUUCUGACUUUUCUUCCUACCCUAUAGGUGUUUUUAUUCUCAACCUUGUGUGCCGAGACUUGGGGCUAAAAGACUCAGUGCUGGCUGGGCUCAAGGCAGUGUUCCCCCUCCUAUAUGUCCGGCGAAUUGAGGGUGAAGUGAAUGAGAUCCUGUUCUGUCAGCUGCACCCUGAGCAAAAACUUGCCACACCAGAGCUCCUAGAAACAGCCCAGGCUUUGGAGCGGACCCUGAGGAAGCCUGGGAGGGGUUGGGAUGACACGUAUGUCUUGUCAGAUAUGCUCAAGACGGUGAAAAUUGUGUGACUGCUUAGGCCAAGCAGCCCUCCUGCCUAGACUGACCUUGGACUCCCAGCCUGCCAGAGAAUGAAGAAAUACAACGCACAGUACUUUUGAAGCUUCGUAUUUUUCUUGGUUUCACACUCAGCUACAUGUGACCUCCAGCUUGGUGAG